RNAcentral lists this unclassified non-coding RNA (336 nucleotides) under soil metagenome. RNAcentral describes it as "partial contains 5.8S ribosomal RNA, internal transcribed spacer 2, and large subunit ribosomal RNA". The stretch from base 1 to 120 matches the Rfam family "5.8S ribosomal RNA", at positions 35 to 154 of the family's 154-position model. The record is from RNAcentral.
GAUGAAGAACGUAGCGAAAUGCGAUAAGUAGUGUGAAUUGCAGAAUUCAGUGAAUCAUCGAAUCUUUGAACGCACAUUGCGCCCCAUGGUAUUCCGUGGGGCAUGCCUGUUCGAGCGUCAUUUACCCCCUCAAGCUCCGCUUGGUGUUGGGCGUCUGUCCCGCUUCGCGCGCGGACUCGCCCCAAAGGUAUUGGCAGCGGUCGUGCCAGCUUCUCGCGCAGCACAUUGCGCUUCUCGAGGCACCGGUGGGCCCGCGUCCAUCAAGCUCACCCCCCAGUUUGACCUCGGAUCAGGUAGGGAUACCCGCUGAACUUAAGCAUAUCAAUAAGCGGAGGA